This 372-nucleotide ribosomal RNA is filed under the name uncultured bacterium. RNAcentral describes it as "bacterial SSU rRNA". It matches the Rfam family "Bacterial small subunit ribosomal RNA", at positions 524 to 898 of the family's 1533-position model. The record is from RNAcentral.
UACGGAGGGUGCAAGCGUUAUCCGGAUUCACUGGGUUUAAAGGGUGUGUAGGCGGGCUAUUAAGUCAGUGGUGAAAUCUCAGGGCUCAACCCUGAAACUGCCAUUGAUACUAUUAGUCUUGAAUAUCGUUGAGGUUGGCGGAAUAUAUCAUGUAGCGGUGAAAUGCAUAGAUAUGAUAUAGAACACCGAUUGCGAAGGCAGCUAACUAAGCGAUGAUUGACGCUGAGGCACGAAAGCGUGGGGAUCAAACAGGAUUAGAUACCCUGGUAGUCCACGCCCUAAACUAUGAUUACUCGACAUACGCGAUACACAGUGUGUGUCUGAGCGAAAGCAUUAAGUAAUCCACCUGGGAAGUACGUCCGCAAGGAUGAA